RUGGGCGCAAGUCCUGAUCNGUCCUGCCGCGUGCAGGAUGACGGUCCUAUGGAUUGUAAACUGCUUUUAUACGAGAAGAAACACUCCUUCGUGAAGGAGCUUGACGGUAUCGUAAGAAUAAGGAUCGGCUAACUCCGUGCCAGCAGCCGCGGUAAUACGGAGGAUCCAAGCGUUAUCCGGAAUCAUUGGGUUUAAAGGGUCCGUAGGCGGUUUAAUAAGUCAGUGGUGAAAGCCCAUCGCUCAACGGUGGAACGGCCAUUGAUACUGUUAGACUUGAAUUAUUAGGAAGUAACUAGAAUAUGUAGUGUAGCGGUGAAAUGCUUAGAGAUUACAUGGAAUACCAAUUGCGAAGGCAGGUUACUACUAAUUGAUUGACGCUGAUGGACGAAAGCGUGGGUAGCGAACAGGAUUAGAUACCCUGGUAGUCCACGCCGUAAACGAUGGAUACUAGCUGUUGGAAGCAAUUUCAGUGGCUAAGCGAAAGUGAUAAGUAUCCCACCUGGGGAGUACGUUCGCAAGAAUGAAACUCAAAGGAAUUGACGGGGGCCCGCACAAGCGGUGGAGCAUGUGGUUUAAUUCGAUGAUACGCGAGGAACCUUACCAAGGCUUAAAUGUAGAUUGACCGGUUUGGAAACAGAUCUUUCGCAAGACAAUUUACAAGGUGCUGCAUGGUUGUCGUCAGCUCGUGCCGUGAGGUGUCAGGUUAAGUCCUAUAACGAGCGCAACCCCUGUUGUUAGUUGCCAGCGAGUCAUGUCGGGAACUCUAACAAGACUGCCAGUGCAAACUGUGAGGAAGGUGGGGAUGACGUCAAAUCAUCACGGCCCUUACGCCUUGGGCUACACACGUGCUACAAUGGCCGGUACAGAGAGCAGCCACUGGGCGACCAGGAGCGAAUCUAUAAAACCGUGUCACAGUC
RNAcentral lists this ribosomal RNA (917 nucleotides) under Peziza vesiculosa. Its description in RNAcentral is "SSU rRNA". It matches the Rfam family "Bacterial small subunit ribosomal RNA", at positions 371 to 1293 of the family's 1533-position model. The record is from RNAcentral. Lineage: Eukaryota; Fungi; Ascomycota; Pezizomycetes; Pezizales; Pezizaceae.